CUAAUGCACAUUCAAAUUUUGGAAACUUUGUUUUCCAGAAAAGGUGCGCAUAGAUUCGACUAAAUAUGGUAUUUUUUCUGCCAUAAAUAUGGUGUCUUACAUAAAAGAUUAUUUAGGUUAUCACAGCAAGCUACCUUGAAAAGUAAAUUUAUUUAUACUAUAAGUAGAUAGGAGCCAUCCAAACACCCAUAAAACCCUCUAUUAUAUUAAUUUUAUCAAUGUUUAAAAGGAACACUCUAAGCACAAAAACUACUUCAUUGCUUAAUGAAGCAAUUUUAGUGCAAAUACCAUGCUUCUGCAGUCUCACAGCUCAAUUCUCUACCAUUUAGGAAUUAAAUCACUUUUGUUUCUGUUUACGCAGUCCUAGCCACACCUCCUCUGGCUGUAACUCGCACAGCCUACAUUGGAAAAAAAAUGGUACUUCUCCGUAAAAGAUUAAGAAACACUGGUGUACAGCAAUGCAGUGUGACACUGAAACACUGCUUGUCUUAGUAGCCUCACUGACUGUUGCACUUUUUGGAUGAUGACACAAAAAUAUAUUUUUAACUCAUUCUUUUUCAUCUAAUUUUAUGGUUCAUUCAACUGAAUUUCUCAGGUUCAAAGUAAAAGUUGGAGCAGAUUUAGAAGACGACAAGAGAAGAUGUAAGCUCAUCAGAAGCAUGAUUGGUCCUGACAACCAAAUGGUAAAUAUGAAUGUAACAAGAUCAAAAAUGUCUCUCUCUCAGACUGUCAAUGGUGAUUAAAUGUUUUCUGUUCCAUCUGUUUUAAACGAUGCUUUGUAAGUCAAAAAAACUAAAUGAACAGGAUGAGAGAUGGUUGGCCUUAGCAUUCUUCCUUUUUGCUUGGGUGUGAUGUAGAUGCCCAUUGGAUUGUGCUAUUUGGUGUAAUUGGCCUUUUUUCCAUUUUGCUGUUGCAUAUUCUACAUCUGUGGAGGAAAAGGUAUAUGCACUGGUAUUUCUGUUUUAGCUACCAAUCUCAAAAUGCUAAGUUUCACACCCUACUGAAAUCUGCUAAACGCAGUAUCCUUCAUAGUUUUCAAGCUGUUUAUUUACCCUUCUGAAUAUAGUAAUCAAUCACAUAGAAAGUUAAUUAAUACUAUUUAUUAAAUAACCAAAAUUAAUAAUUGUCAUAUGUAAUCAUGUAUCCAGCUACUAUCAAUUUAGAACUAAUCAUAGUAGAACUAAACACACAUGUUAUUUUUUUUAUGAAGUAUUAGACUUUAUAAGUACUCGCUCUAUUUUAGAUGCUUGAUGCAAACCAGAGAUGGGAUGUGAAUGAAGCAGUCCAAUGUGUGUCUGAGUUGGCUUCAUUUAAACCUUUAUGGAUUGAGGAACCAACAUCACCAGAUGACAUCCUUGGUCAUGCAACAAUCUCAAAGGUAGAUCCUAGUACAGGCAUAGGCAACCUUUGGCACUGCAGAUGUUUUGAACUACACCUCCCAAGAUGCUUUGCCAGCAUUAUGGGUGUAAGAGCAUUAUGGGAGAUGUAGUCCACAACAUCUGGAGUGCCGAAGGUUGCCUACCCGUGUCCUAGUUAGUUAAUUUCCAAUUAUGCUAAUUGCGAUUUUGGUAAGUAUUAAUUUUCUUUAUAUAAUUGCAAGUGACAUUUCUUUAUUCAAUCACCUCAGUAAAUGGCAUGGAAAUAAGUAUCAGUAUGAAUAUUCCAGUGUAGGCAAGUUAAAAACAUGUCAUUGCCCCAUGGUACUAAAAACUCACUUAUGUAUUCCUAACCCUAUAGUGUUAAAACCACCAUCUAGUCCACCUGCCCCCUCCCCCAUUGCUUCCCUAAAUAUAGUAAAA
Molecule: long non-coding RNA, 1799 nt
Filed under: Pelobates cultripes (western spadefoot toad)
Lineage: Eukaryota; Metazoa; Chordata; Amphibia; Anura; Pelobatidae
Source: RNAcentral